RNAcentral lists this ribosomal RNA (484 nucleotides) under uncultured bacterium. RNAcentral describes it as "partial 16S ribosomal RNA". It matches the Rfam family "Bacterial small subunit ribosomal RNA", at positions 30 to 507 of the family's 1533-position model. The record is from RNAcentral.
AUUGAACGCUGGCGGCAGGCCUAACACAUGCAAGUCGAGCGGAUGAAGGGAGCUUGCUCCUGGAUUCAGCGGCGGACGGGUGAGUAAUGCCUAGGAAUCUGCCUGGUAGUGGGGGAUAACGUCCGGAAACGGGCGCUAAUACCGCAUACGUCCUGAGGGAGAAAGUGGGGGAUCUUCGGACCUCACGCUAUCAGAUGAGCCUAGGUCGGAUUAGCUAGUUGGUGGGGUAAAGGCCUACCAAGGCGACGAUCCGUAACUGGUCUGAGAGGAUGAUCAGUCACACUGGAACUGAGACACGGUCCAGACUCCUACGGGAGGCAGCAGUGGGGAAUAUUGGACAAUGGGCGAAAUCCUGAUCCAGCCAUGCCGCGUGUGUGAAGAAGGUCUUCGGAUUGUAAAGCACUUUAAGUUGGGAGGAAGGGCAGUAAGUUAAUACCUUGCUGUUUUGACGGUACCAACAGAAUAAGCACCGGCUAACUUCGUG